RNAcentral lists this transfer RNA (76 nucleotides) under uncultured Clostridium sp. RNAcentral describes it as "tRNA-Stop(tta)". It matches the Rfam family "tRNA". From Rfam's summary of the family: Transfer RNA (tRNA) molecules are approximately 80 nucleotides in length. Their secondary structure includes four short double-helical elements and three loops (D, anti-codon, and T loops). Further hydrogen bonds mediate the characteristic L-shaped molecular structure. tRNAs have two regions of fundamental functional importance: the anti-codon, which is responsible for specific mRNA codon recognition, and the 3' end, to which the tRNAs corresponding amino acid is attached (by aminoacyl-tRNA synthetases). tRNAs cope with the degeneracy of the genetic code in two manners: having more than one tRNA (with a specific anti-codon) for a particular amino acid; and 'wobble' base-pairing, i.e. permitting non-standard base-pairing at the 3rd anti-codon position. Lineage: Bacteria; Bacillati; Bacillota; Clostridia; Eubacteriales; Clostridiaceae. The record is from RNAcentral.
GAGACAGUAGCUCAGUUGGCAGAGCGCGAGACGAUUAAAGUCCCGAAGUCGAUGGUUCGAGUCCAUCCUGUUUCUC